CGUCAAAUCAGCACGGCCCUUACGUCCGGGGCGACACACGUGUUACAAUGGGGGGUACAGAGGGCAGCUACAUAGUGAUAUGAUGCUAAUCUCAAAAACCUCUCACAGUUCGGAUUGGAGUCUGCAACUCGACUCCAUGAAGUUGGAUUCGCUAGUAAUCGCACAUCAGCCAUGGUGCGGUGAAUACGUUCCCGGGCCUU
This 200-nucleotide ribosomal RNA is filed under the name uncultured prokaryote. RNAcentral's name for it is "partial 16S ribosomal RNA". It matches the Rfam family "Bacterial small subunit ribosomal RNA", at positions 1183 to 1382 of the family's 1533-position model. The record is from RNAcentral.